CAGCAGCCACGGGAAAACGGAGGGUGCAAGCGUUAUCCGGAUUUAUUGGGUUUAAAGGGUCCGUAGGCGGAUCUGUAAGUCAGUGGUGAAAUCUCACAGCUUAACUGUGAAACUGCCAUUGAUACUGCAGGUCUUGAGUAAAUUUGAAGUGGCUGGAAUAAGUAGUGUAGCGGUGAAAUGCAUAGAUAUUACUUAGAACACCAAUUGCGAAGGCAGGUCACUAAGAUUUAACUUACGCUGAUGGACGAAAGCGUGGGGAGCGAACAGGAUUAGAUACCCGGGUAGUCCCUGUCUCUUAUAC
Molecule: ribosomal RNA, 301 nt
Filed under: uncultured bacterium
Lineage: Bacteria
Description: partial 16S ribosomal RNA
Rfam family: Bacterial small subunit ribosomal RNA
Source: RNAcentral